Ictalurus punctatus (channel catfish) is the source of this 1196-nucleotide long non-coding RNA. Lineage: Eukaryota; Metazoa; Chordata; Actinopteri; Siluriformes; Ictaluridae. The record is from Ensembl.
CAAACAUUUCCUUUCAUGGUAAAAAUGAAGAGGACUUUUUUGGUUUUUUUUUGUGAUAAUGUUGAUAUUAAUAGGUUACAGCAUCUAUCAGUGGAAAGCUGUGAGAGAAGAGAAGUGAACACAGCUCUAAUUAGACAUGGGGUGAUCAAACAGAAUCGAGUAUUUUCCACAAAGUCUAAUUAAAGGUAUAAUCUGUGAUGGUGGUUUUGAAGUUAGCUGAAUGUGGCUGUUUUCAAACACACAAAAAUACAUACUAUCUUUUAAUUUCCUCCUUUCAAAGACCUUAAAUUCUGUCCUAGUAGUGAUAUACUUACUUAGUCCUCUGAUAGAUUUAAUAUAUUUUGGUUUUGUUUGUGUCAGGUUGGGUUGGGUUGGGUUAGAUUGGGUUGUGGUAGAUUGGGUUGGGUUAGGUUAGAUUGGGUUAAAUUAGAUUGGGUUGGGUUAGGUUAGAUUGGGUUAAAUUAGAUUGGGUUGUGGUAGAUUUGGUUAGGGUAGAUUUGGUUAGGUUAAGUUAGGGUAAAUUUUGGCUGGGUUAGGGUAGAUUGGAUUAGGUUAAAUUAGAUUGGUAAGUAUAGAUCGGGUUGGGUUAGGGUAGAUUGGGAUGGGUUAGGGUGGAUUGGGAUGGGCUAGGGUAGAUCAGGUUGGGUUAGGGUAGAUUGGGAUGGGUUAGGGUAGAUUGGAUUUAGUUGAGGUGGGUACUUAGGUUGAGUUGGGUUCUUGAUCAUCUUCCUUUUACAUCUUUGUUUUUUUUAUUGAAGCAAAAAAUAAUCUGUCAUCCGACACCUAUCACCAAUGUGAAAAAUUCAUUGCCCCUUUAAAAUCUGGUUCUCACUUUUAGCAGUAGUAACUGCAACCAAAUGCUUCUGAUAACUGAGAUCAGUCUUUCACUUCUAGGACUAGGAUUUACUCCUAUGCUUUGGAUCAUUGUCUUGCUGCAUGAUCCAGUUGUGUUUGAGUUUCAAAUUACAGACUGAAGACCGGACGUUCUCCUUUAGGAUUUUCUGGUAGAGAGGCAAGUUGCCCAGGCCCUGAAGCAGAAAAGCAUCCCCACACCAUCACACUUCCACCACCAUGCUUGACCAUAGGUUUGAGGAUCAUCAAGGUGUGUUUUGGCAAAAUUCAGACGAGCCUUAAUGUUCUUCUGGGUUAGCAGUGGUUUUCACCUCACCACUCUUCCAUGGACGCCAUUUUUGCCC